Molecule: long non-coding RNA, 718 nt
Organism: Homo sapiens (human)
Lineage: Eukaryota; Metazoa; Chordata; Mammalia; Primates; Hominidae
Source: Ensembl
GCGUACUUUUCCAGAGGGAGCUGAAUAGAGCCAAGGCUUGGGCACGGCUGUGCAGAGAGGGAAUUCGGCCCCCGGUCUCUUGCAACCAACAGCGCGACUUCUCCCUGCAGGGCAGGGGAGGCAAUAGAGAAGGAGGGCCUCCAAGAAGGUGCAUCUCCCAGCUGUUUACCAAUCCCCACCCAGUGGGGACAGAAGACAACUUAAUUCCACAAAGUUGGACCCCCAAGGGAAGUGGGGAGGUGAGAGGGAAAGAAGGAUGUGGUCUCCAUCUAAAGUCAAGAUCUCUUCCCCAGAAGCUAGAGGUAAACUUGCCCAGCUCGGACUAGGCCUAGAGAGGCUGAAUGAUGUGGCAUCACCCGGAAACAGCGUUUACCCUCCUUAUCCUCUUCCCUUCUGCCUGAAAACACUAAUCCAGAUGAUGGACAAUGAUUCAAUUAGUCAUCUUCUCUGAUGGGGGCUGAGAUCCAGGCUGGGAUCCCGUGGAAGUGCCGGGCAAUCCUCUCUGCAAGUGGCUCUGUGCUCCCUCAUCACCAAGGACCCAUGUCACUUUGGCAUUGCUUCUCCUCAGCUACUUCUCAGUUACUGGUCCUCAUUUGGAGAGAUGGAUAUCCGGCUGGAAGCAUCCCCUACCCGCUGGGAGAGUGGGUCUACAGCUCAGGGUCUACAUGUGGACCAGGGCCUCAGAAUGUGGGUAAAUGUGAGUCAGAUGCACCUGGCA